RNAcentral lists this ribosomal RNA (903 nucleotides) under uncultured organism. RNAcentral's name for it is "bacterial SSU rRNA". It matches the Rfam family "Bacterial small subunit ribosomal RNA", at positions 1 to 917 of the family's 1533-position model. The record is from RNAcentral.
UGGAUCCAGACUUUGAUUAUGGCUCAGGACGAACGCUGGCGGCGCGCCUAACACAUGCAAGUCGAACGAGCGAGAGAGAGCUUGCUUUCUCGAGCGAGUGGCGAACGGGUGAGUAACGCGUGAGGAACCUGCCUCAAAGAGGGGGACAACAGUUGGAAACGACUGCUAAUACCGCAUAAGCCCACAGGUCGGCAUCGACCAGAGGGAAAAGGAGCAAUCCGCUUUGAGAUGGCCUCGCGUCCGAUUAGCUAGUUGGUGAGGUAACGGCCCACCAAGGCAACGAUCGGUAGCCGGACUGAGAGGUUGAACGGCCACAUUGGGACUGAGACACGGCCCAGACUCCUACGGGAGGCAGCAGUGGGGAAUAUUGCACAAUGGGGGAAACCCUGAUGCAGCGACGCCGCGUGGAGGAAGAAGGUCUUCGGAUUGUAAACUCCUGUUGUUGAGGAAGAUAAUGACGGUACUCAACAAGGAAGUGACGGCUAACUACGUGCCAGCAGCCGCGGUAAAACGUAGGUCACAAGCGUUGUCCGGAAUUACUGGGUGUAAAGGGAGCGCAGGCGGGAAGACAAGUUGGAAGUGAAAUCUAUGGGCUCAACCCAUAAACUGCUUUCAAAACUGUUUUUCUUGAGUAGUGCAGAGGUAGGCGGAAUUCCCGGUGUAGCGGUGGAAUGCGUAGAUAUCGGGAGGAACACCAGUGGCGAAGGCGGCCUACUGGGCACCAACUGACGCUGAGGCUCGAAAGUGUGGGUAGCAAACAGGAUUAGAUACCCUGGUAGUCCACACCGUAAACGAUGAUUACUAGGUGUUGGAGGAUUGACCCCUUCAGUGCCGCAGUUAACACAAUAAGUAAUCCACCUGGGGAGUACGACCGCAAGGUUGCAACUCAAAUGAAUUGACGGA